RNAcentral lists this ribosomal RNA (244 nucleotides) under Sebacina sp. Its description in RNAcentral is "partial large subunit ribosomal RNA". Lineage: Eukaryota; Fungi; Basidiomycota; Agaricomycetes; Sebacinales; Sebacinaceae. The record is from RNAcentral.
AAGCGUUUGAAGUCAGUCGCGUCUGUCGGGGUUCAGCCUGGCUUCUGCCUGGUGUAUUCCCCGUCCGACGGGUCAGCAUCAGUUUUGACCGAGAGAAAAAGGCUUGGGGAAUGUGGCCAUCUUCGGGUGGUGUUAUAGCCUCUUGUCAUAUGUCUCGGUCGGGACUGAGGACUGCAGCGCGCCUUAUGGCCGGGGUUCGCUCCCUCGGUACGCGCUUAGGAUGCUGGCAUAAUGGCUUUAAGCG